This 468-nucleotide ribosomal RNA is filed under the name uncultured bacterium. RNAcentral's name for it is "partial 16S ribosomal RNA". It matches the Rfam family "Bacterial small subunit ribosomal RNA", at positions 28 to 507 of the family's 1533-position model. The record is from RNAcentral.
GACGAACGCUGGCGGCGUGCUUAACACAUGCAAGUCGAACGGAAAGGCCCUGCUUUUGUGGGGUGCUCGAGUCGCGAACGGGUGAGUAACACGUGAGUAACCUGCCCUUGACUUUGGGAUAACUUCAGGAAACUGGGGCUAAUACCGGAUAGGAGCUCCUGCUGCAUGGUGGGGGUUGGAAAGUUCCGGCGGUUGGGGAUGGACUCGCGGCUUAUCAGCUUGUUGGUGGGGUAGUGGCUUACCAAGGCUUUGACGGGUAGCCGGCCUGAGAGGGUGACCGGCCACAUUGGGACUGAGAUACGGCCCAGACUCCUACGGGAGGCAGCAGUGGGGAAUAUUGCACAAUGGGCGGAAGCCUGAUGCAGCAACGCCGCGUGCGGGAUGACGGCCUUCGGGUUGUAAACCGCUUUCGCCUGUGACGAAGCGUGAGUGACGGUAAUGGGUAAAGAAGCACCGGCUAACUACGUG